Molecule: long non-coding RNA, 2967 nt
Organism: Scylla paramamosain (green mud crab)
Lineage: Eukaryota; Metazoa; Arthropoda; Malacostraca; Decapoda; Portunidae
Exons: 4
Source: RefSeq, a predicted model, not a curated record
GUCGUGUGUGUGUGUUCUGAUUCUGGUAAUGUAACUUUAGAUGAUAUAGACUUCGUUUACAUGAUUUUAGACAAAUUCCUUACUCUUUUUUUCGGAAUCAGAUUCUGAUGAAACUUUUAUCCCACAUUUUUUCUUCACUUUUUUUCUCUCCAUUUUCUCACUCGGUUUUCGUUUUUGCAAGAUACCGAGAGAACAAUAUUUAAUUAAGAAAGGAUAGUUAGUGUGCAUGCGUGCCUAUGGGUGGUAUAGUCCUGUAGCAGUCUGAAGAUGAUCGUAUAGUCCUGUAGCAGUCUUAAGAUGAUCAUCCUGUCAUCCACAUCCUUCUUUUUAUUGUCCUCCUUUAGGGAUUCUUGCUUCUUGCACGUAAACGUAUUGUCAUUUACUUCCUCAUUCUUUCUUCGUCUUGAUGUUACUUGUCUUGCUCUUCGUCACACGCCGCCGCCUCGCCACCACGGCUGCUGUUGGUGCUGCCGGCAACUACAUUGUCCUCGUCAUUGCGUUCCCUCAUGCGUCGCUGUCAUGGCACCCUGGAACACUACAGCCACAACUGCUGCUGUCUUUUAUCCUAUAACAGGCGUGUGAGCGGUGUUGUGAUCGUCGCCUGGAGGUGUCCAUGUUCCGGGAGUCGCUGCCCUUCCAGUCCCCCUCCGCUGUCUGUCUGAGCAACCUGGGUGAAGAGCGGCGGACGCCGCGUUCCAUGUUAAUGUUUGCUGACCAGCCGUCCUCUCUUAUUUUCUCGGUCCUAGCGAGGUGAAGGAGGGACGCUUGCUUCUGCGGCAAACAGAAGCAAUCCACGAGGACGACAGAAAGGUGCGAACGUUUGAGGUGGAUGAAAAUAAUUAAAUAAUUGCUCAAUAUGUUGCUGACCAGCAGUCUUCAACGUUCGCACCGUGUCGUCCUCGUGGGUUGCCAUCUUAAACGUUUAACCUUCACCACUUUAUCAGAAGCCGCCUCCUUUACUAACUAGUAGGGACUGGAGAGGCAAAGAGGACGGGGCUGAUCAGCAAACGGAUGGAGAAACCAAGAGUAUGCCAUCUCGUGUCUCCAACCCUACGGGGUAGUUGUAAGCACCGAGCAGAAUCAGGGAGCCAAGACGCAAGUAUGGGGAUAGCCCGCGAAUGCCCGGCGAUGUCUUUAGUACGAAAACUCUGGGAGGGUGAAGAGGCACGUGGCAUUCAUUGGGUGAGAACUCGCAUGUUGCUGAAAGACAAGUAAGUGUUGCAACUAUGGACAUCUACCACCAGAGCGGUAGCCGGCCAUUACGAAUUACCCACACCAUUUUGAGAUGAAGAACCGGAUCUGCCAAACAACAACAACGAGAUGGCGCAGAAACGCUUAAAGGGACAGACGACGCCUCGCUAGGGAUUCGGACUUCAGACGACGAUAUGCAGGAGAGAGAGAACAAUUGCUGUUAAAGAGCGAUGCCAGCGUCUGAACGUGAAGGACCACGAGGAGUAACCUGGUGCCUGCCUCACCAUCCACUCAUGAACCCAAACAAACCUGAGAAAGUGAAGGCUUUGUUUGCGCAGCGAAGUACAACAACGUUUCCCUCAAAGACUGAGUGAUGCAGGUUCCUGACCUAAAGAGCAAACUGGUGGGUGCCCUUCUGCGUUUCCGAAGUGAACGGAUUGCCGCGAUGGCUGAUGUGAAGGCAAUGUUUCUCAUCAAGCUGGCGUGACCCCUCUUCACCGAGACUCCUUAAGAGAUUCCUUUGGUGGAAAGAUGGGAACCUAAGGAGGGUACGGCCUACCGAAUGACGGGUAGGUCUUUUUGGGUGUGUAUGGAGUCCCUCCUGUGCUGCUUACUCAUUGCAACGAACUUUGACCGACUGUGAGGAAGAAUAUGGCAUAGCUAGUAGUUACUGAACAUGGAGGGGCUUGUACGUGGACAACUUACUUCUUUCAGUACCCUCCACCGAAAAGGCAUCCAGAUUUACUCGCGAUCUUUGGCUCACAAAGAGAGGAUUUCUGCUAAGUGGGUUAGUAGUAACCUUAAGGAGACAUAGUACAGUACUGUGUCCUACAGAGAGAGACAGGAAUAAGAAUAGAUCUGAGUAAGGACGCACUGGCUACAAAACGGGAUCUGGAAAGGGAUCAAUCAAUCAACUAGCUGUGAGGGGAGUACUGAGGGUGAGCAGCUCCGUUCAUGACCCUCUUGGACUGGUCAGUCCUGUAAUGAUUAAGGCGAAGGCGAUGAUCAAUUAAGGCGAAGGCGAAGAUCUUUCAGGACGAGUGCAGCCGAUAAGGAAGGAUGGAUGACCCCCUCCUAAAUCACCACAGGUCCUAGUUGGUUGGCUUGGCUGGAGGAGUUACCAGGACUGACGGUCUUUCAAGUUCCCCGAUGCUACAGGCGGGAGGACAUGGGAGAUGUUUUAUCACUUACCAACUGCAUCAUUUCAGAUCAAACAGGCUGAGAUGGUGAUAUUGAGAGUUGUUCAAACCACAACGUGCAAAGAGGAGAUGAACAUCCUAAAGUCAAAGUCAAAGAAAAAAAACUACAGAGGAAACAUUCGAUCUGUCGAGUGGAACCCUUCAUGGGUGAGGGUGGAUUUUAUACUCCAUGUGGACGGCUGGACCACGCACCAAUGCCUGCUACAAGUCGGUAUCCCAUUUCCAUGCUCAUACGGAGAGAGAUCAUCAUAUCACAAAAUUGAUUCUACAAGAGUGCAUGAGGACUUUACUUGACAGUUCACGCAGGAUGGGAGCAUGUUACGUCACACUUACUGGAUUCCACACACACCACCUGCCUGAGGACCGAGAGUAACCCCCAUGCUGGCACCAUUCUCGUCAGCUGGAGUGGAUUGCUUCAGACCGUUCUUGGUCAAAGUGGAAAGAAGCAGAGUGAGUGAGUGGGGAUGCCUCCACGUGCAUGACUACACACAUAAGAACAUAAGAAAUAAGGGAAGCUGCAAGAAGCGACCAGGCUUACACGUGGCAGUCCCUAUAUGAAAUAUACCUACCUAUUUUC